AGAGCGAGACGUAAUGCUGAGGCUGAAGCCACCGAGUUUAUUUGAUCUGGAUGUGACAAGUCUUGUUUUAAGGCCCAGUGGAUCAAUGAUUGGAAAGACACCAACUGUUGAUGUUCUAUCUCAACAUUCUCCAGAUUCAUGUGAGCGAUAAACCGACUUCAUCCCUCCAACAGACACCAACUGUUGGGGUUCUAUCUCAACAUUCUCCAGAUUCAGAUGUGAGCGAUAAACCGACUUCAUCCCUCCAACAGAAACCAACUGUUGAGGUUCCAUCUCAACAUUCUCCAGAUUCAGAUGUGAGCCAUUAACUGACUUCAUCCCUCCAACAGAAACCAACUGUUGAGGUUCUAUCUCAACAUUCUCUAGAUUCAGAUGACAGCCAUAAACCGACUUCAUCCCUCCAACAGAUUGAAAGCAGGACAAAUCGCUGGAAGUGGGUAUGUCUCAAGCUUCUUCCACUUGGUCCACUCCAAAGCGGGGUAAAUAAAUAAUCUACAUCAUUUACUAGAAUAUUAUAUUACGUUUUGCACCUUUUCACUGUAUUAUAGUCCUUAUUCCUUCAGUAAGAAAUUGUAUUUUGUCUCCUUUAUGACAACUGCAAAGGGGAAGAAGUGGAAGCAGUUGAAUGACACAUGUUGCAUUUUGUAACUGGCAACAAAGUACCAGGUAAAAAAGAUUGUGAAGCCUGCCUCCAUAAAGAACUAGUAGCUCUACAGGACAGAGAUUGGCUUGCCAUCAAGUACUACAUCCAUAACAGAAUUAUAUUAAAAAAAGGGAAAAAAAAUGUUUUCCCACAUCUUCUGUGGUAGUUUGAGUAUGUUACCAGCAAUUAAAAAAGCAAAAUAAACA
Long non-coding RNA from Nerophis ophidion (straightnose pipefish), 849 nucleotides. RefSeq lists it as uncharacterized. The transcript has 6 exons. NCBI's taxonomy places the organism in Eukaryota, Metazoa, Chordata, Actinopteri, Syngnathiformes, Syngnathidae. The record is from RefSeq and is a predicted model, not a curated record.